RNAcentral lists this transfer RNA (88 nucleotides) under Lacinutrix sp. 5H-3-7-4. RNAcentral's name for it is "tRNA-Leu". It matches the Rfam family "tRNA". Rfam says of the family: Transfer RNA (tRNA) molecules are approximately 80 nucleotides in length. Their secondary structure includes four short double-helical elements and three loops (D, anti-codon, and T loops). Further hydrogen bonds mediate the characteristic L-shaped molecular structure. tRNAs have two regions of fundamental functional importance: the anti-codon, which is responsible for specific mRNA codon recognition, and the 3' end, to which the tRNAs corresponding amino acid is attached (by aminoacyl-tRNA synthetases). tRNAs cope with the degeneracy of the genetic code in two manners: having more than one tRNA (with a specific anti-codon) for a particular amino acid; and 'wobble' base-pairing, i.e. permitting non-standard base-pairing at the 3rd anti-codon position. Lineage: Bacteria; Pseudomonadati; Bacteroidota; Flavobacteriia; Flavobacteriales; Flavobacteriaceae. The record is from RNAcentral.
GCGCACGUGGCGGAAUUGGUAGACGCGCUAGCUUGAGGGGUUAGUAAUUGCUUAAAUUGUGGAAGUUCGAAUCUUCUCGUGCGCACAA